AUGCAACUGAUGAGUCCCGAAUAGGACGAAAUGUGUGUCGUGAAU
Non-coding RNA from Schistosoma rodhaini, 45 nucleotides. Lineage: Eukaryota; Metazoa; Platyhelminthes; Trematoda; Strigeidida; Schistosomatidae. The record is from Rfam.